This 484-nucleotide ribosomal RNA is filed under the name uncultured Blastopirellula sp. RNAcentral's name for it is "bacterial SSU rRNA". It matches the Rfam family "Bacterial small subunit ribosomal RNA", at positions 8 to 491 of the family's 1533-position model. The record is from RNAcentral. Lineage: Bacteria; Pseudomonadati; Planctomycetota; Planctomycetia; Pirellulales; Pirellulaceae.
AGAGUUUGAUCCUGGCUCAGAACGAACGCUGGCGGCGUGGAUGAGGCAUGCAAGUCGAACGGGAUCCAGCAGGUAGCAAUAUUUGCUGGUGAGAGUGGCGUAAGGGUGAGUAAUGCGUGGGUAAUCUACCUUUAAGAUCGGCAUAGCCCGGCGAAAGCUGGGAUAAUUCCGAAUGUGAUCGACCGGUGCAUACCGGUCUAUUCAAAGCUGGGGACCGCAAGGCCUGGCGCUUGAAGAUGAGCCCACGUCCUAUCAGCUAGUUGGUGAGGUAACGGCUCACCAAGGCAACGACGGGUAUCGGGCGUGAGAGCGUGACCCGACACAUCGGAACUGAGAUACGGUCCGGACACCUACGGGUGGCUGCAGCAACGAAUAUUCCGCAAUGGACGAAAGUCUGACGGAGCGACGCCGCGUGCAGGAAGAAGUCCCUCGGGAUGUAAACUGCUGUCAGGGGUGAGGAACACAAUGACCAACCCCAGAGAGC